GUAGGUGGCAAGCGUUGUCCGGAAUUAUUGGGCGUAAAGCGCGCGCAGGCGGUUCUUUAAGUCAGAUGUGAAAGCCCACGGCUCAACCGUGGAGGGUCAUUGGAAACUGGAGAACUUGAGUACAGAAGAGGAAAGCGGAAUUCCACGUGUAGCGGUGAAAUGCGUAGAGAUGUGGAGGAACACCAGUGGCGAAGGCGGCUUUCUGGUCUGUAACUGACGCUGAGGCGCGAAAGCGUGGGGAGCAAACAGGGAUUAGAUACCCUGGUAGUCCACGCCGUAAACGAUGAGUGCUAAGUGUUAGGGGGUUUCCGCCCCCUUAGUGCUGCAGCUAACGCAUUAAGCACUCCGCCUGGGGAGUACGGCCGCAAGGCUG
RNAcentral lists this ribosomal RNA (373 nucleotides) under uncultured organism. Its description in RNAcentral is "partial 16S ribosomal RNA". It matches the Rfam family "Bacterial small subunit ribosomal RNA", at positions 527 to 896 of the family's 1533-position model. The record is from RNAcentral.